This is a long non-coding RNA of Oncorhynchus tshawytscha (Chinook salmon), 2043 nucleotides long. NCBI's taxonomy places the organism in Eukaryota, Metazoa, Chordata, Actinopteri, Salmoniformes, Salmonidae. The record is from Ensembl.
GUGAUGGCUGUCAUUAACGUGAUUCUGUUGGCACACUAAUUGGUUAGGGUAAUCUCAAGCAAAGUCAUAAUGUUAUUUUACUACAGUGACCAACUGCCCAAGUCUCCUGGUCUUAUCUACAUAUUUCCUCUCUUUCACCACCAUUCUCCAAUAGGCUACGAUCACCAUAGAAUGGAGGAGGACAGGCACAUCAUUUAAAACAUUGAGGACCUGAGCCCUAGGACCUGAGCUCCAGGACUACCUGACAUGAUGACUCCUUGCUGUCCCCAGUCCACCUGGCCAUGCUGCUGUUCCAGUUUCAACUGACCUGAGCCCUAGGACCAUGCCCCAGGACUACCUGACAUGAUGACUCCUUGCUGUCCCCAGUCCACCUGGCCAUGCUGCUGCUCCAGUUUCAACUUCCACCUGACUGUUCUGCCUUAUUAUUAUUAUUCGACCAUGCUGGUCAUUUAUGAACAUUUGAACAUCUUGGCCAUGUUCUGUUAUAAUCUCCACCCGGCACAGCCAGAAGAGGACUGGCCACCCCACAUAGCCUGGUUCCUCUCUAGGUUUUCCCGAUCAUCAUCUAAAACACAAUGACAAAAAGUAGCAAUUGAAACUUUUCUUGUGCUCCAGUCACUCUUUAGCAUUAGAAGGUGAAUACACUUUCGACUAGCAACAGCUUCUAUUCAUUUUAAUACCGCAAUCUGCAGCUUUCAUGUUUAGUUAAUUUGAUGCAUUGAGUAGGCAUACACGUCUGCAGUUCAGUCAUGACAGAUUUGCAUUUGAAGUGAUUUCUAUGGUGACGAUCCAUACAUAUGGCUACAUUUAUAAGCAGCACCCUGAUAAUUAUCAGAGUGUUAUUAGGAACCUAUAACAUCCAAUUUAAGGAAAUGAUAUUGUGGAAAGAUGUCAAUACUAGAUUUGAUGUUUAUCACUCUGUAUGGGGAUGGCCUCCACCAACACCAUCAGAUCCCUUUUCAGUCAAAGCUCUUUCCAUUAAAGCAGCUGAGCAUUGAUCUCACUCAUGAGCAAGAGGAAUUUUAGCCUGAGGCUUUUCCUGAAAGUGAAAAAGUUUUAGAUUAUUUUGGUAAAUUAAAAAAAUGUGUCUUGACAUGGCAGCUGUGAAGGGUCCUAGUUGAGAGACUAGUUUUGCUUUUUUUUGUGGUGAAAUGGGAUAAGGCCACACAGGAGGCCAUGUUGUAUACUAUCAGUAGCUGCAAGACAUAAACAAUUCCAUCAAACAAAUGUUGCAUGAAGUAAACAACACCUGGAGCACUUGUAUAAAACACUAUUUGUCUUCCAUUUGAAGAGUGCACCUGCAUGGCACUGAUAUUGAGAUAUGUAUCUUCAAAUAGCUCUAGUUUUGUCAGUCUGACCGAGUUGAAGUAAUGUGAGGAUUGAUUGAAUAGAGAAGAGAUAACACAUUUAGAAUGGAAAAUAAAACAGGCCAACACUUGAGGUGCAACUGAAGCUUUCUUUUAUUUUUGUGUAUUUUUGGAAACAAAUAGAUUCACACUGCCUAAAUGCAAAUGAGUGUGAACUCCUGCCCAUGUCCCACCCCACCUUUCUGGAAAAUAUUGUCUUAUCCAUUAGUGCAAGCUGACAAAAAAAAUGAGUGUUUUCUCAUUGUGUGGCUGAGCAGAGAAUUUAAUUCAGGUCCAGUCUUGGGGGCUCAGUACACUUGGGGUUUUGUUCGAGCUCCUUUCAUAUGCUGCAGACCGUGGCAACAAAGACUGCUUUCACAGCGUCACUGUAAAAGCAUCUGAAAAGAAAGAAAGGAUGAAAGUUAACUGAGAACUGCUGGAGGAAAGGCUUAUGUGAGGGUUAACUGAGAACUGCUGGGGAAAUGGUUUAUGUGAAGUCUCCAGUCUGUUCGUCAAGUCCAUCUCACCCUCCAUCCUUCCAUAUUCGAGACUUUCUUUUUCAGUUGCCAUUGCCAUGCUAUCGAGUUUGGUGUGUCCUACUUGAGUGAACCACAAAAAUACACUUAACAAAAAUAUAAAUGCAACAUGUAAAGUGUUGGUCCCAUGUUUCUGAAAUAAAAGAUCCCAGAAAUGUUCC